This 301-nucleotide ribosomal RNA is filed under the name uncultured bacterium. Its description in RNAcentral is "partial 16S ribosomal RNA". It matches the Rfam family "Bacterial small subunit ribosomal RNA", at positions 509 to 807 of the family's 1533-position model. The record is from RNAcentral.
CAGCCGCCGCGGUAAAACGAAGGGUGCAAGCGUUAAUCGGAAUUACUGGGCGUAAAGCGUGCGUAGGCGGUUUGUUGAGUCUGCUGUGAAAUCCCCGGGCUCAACCUGGGAAUGGCAGUGGAUACUGGCAAGCUAGAGUGUGUCAGAGGAUGGUGGAAUUCCCGGUGUAGCGGUGAAAUGCGUAGAGAUCGGGAGGAACAUCAGUGGCGAAGGCGGCCAUCUGGGACAACACUGACGCUGAGGCACGAAAGCGUGGGGAGCAAACAGGAUUAGAUACCCCCGUAGUCCCUGUCUCUUAUAC